GGUUAAGCGACUAAGCGUACACGGUGGAUGCCCUGGCAGUCAGAGGCGAUGAAGGACGUGCUAAUCUGCGAUAAGCGUCGGUAAGGUGAUAUGAACCGUUAUAACCGGCGAUUUCCGAAUGGGGAAACCCAGUGUGUUUCGACACACUAUCAUUAACUGAAUCCAUAGGUUAAUGAGGCGAACCGGGGGAGCUGAAACAUCUAAGUACCCCGAGGAAAAGAAAUCAACCGAGAUUCCCCCAGUAGCGGCGAGCGAACGGGGAGGAGCCCAGAGCCUGAAUCAGUGUGUGUGUUAGUGGAAGCGUCUGGAAAGGCGCGCGAUACAGGGUGACAGCCCCGUACACAAAAAUGCACAUGCUGUGAGCUCGAUGAGUAGGGCGGGACACGUGGUAUCCUGUCUGAAUAUGGGGGGACCAUCCUCCAAGGCUAAAUACUCCUGACUGACCGAUAGUGAACCAGUACCGUGAGGGAAAGGCGAAAAGAACCCCGGCGAGGGGAGUGAAAAAGAACCUGAAACCGUGUACGUACAAGCAGUGGGAGCAUGCUUAGGCGUGUGACUGCGUACCUUUUGUAUAAUGGGUCAGCGACUUAUAUUCUGUAGCAAGGUUAACCGAAUAGGGGAGCCGAAGGGAAACCGAGUCUUAACUGGGCGUUAAGUUGCAGGGUAUAGACCCGAAACCCGGUGAUCUAGCCAUGGGCAGGUUGAAGGUUGGGUAACACUAACUGGAGGACCGAACCGACUAAUGUUGAAAAAUUAGCGGAUGACUUGUGGCUGGGGGUGAAAGGCCAAUCAAACCGGGAGAUAGCUGGUUCUCCCCGAAAGCUAUUUAGGUAGCGCCUCGUGAA
Molecule: ribosomal RNA, 845 nt
Filed under: Escherichia coli
Lineage: Bacteria; Pseudomonadati; Pseudomonadota; Gammaproteobacteria; Enterobacterales; Enterobacteriaceae
Description: partial 23S ribosomal RNA
Rfam family: Bacterial large subunit ribosomal RNA
Source: RNAcentral